GACGAACGCUGGCGGCGUGCUUAACACAUGCAAGUCGAACGGAAAGGCCCUGCUUUUGUGGGGUGCUCGAGUGGCGAACGGGUGAGUAACACGUGAGUAACCUGCCCUUGACUUUGGGAUAACUUCAGGAAACUGGGGCUAAUACCGGAUAGGAGCUCCUGCUGCGUGGUGGGGGUUGGAAAGUUUCGGCGGUUGGGGAUGGACUCGCGGCUUAUCAGCUUGUUGGUGGGGUAGUGGCUUACCAAGGCUUUGACGGGUAGCCGGCCUGAGAGGGUGACCGGCCACAUUGGGACUGAGAUACGGCCCAGACUCCUACGGGAGGCAGCAGUGGGGAAUAUUGCACAAUGGGCGGAAGCCUGAUGCAGCAACGCCGCGUGCGGGAUGACGGCCUUCGGGUUGUAAACCGCUUUCGCCUGUGACGAAGCGUGAGUGACGGUAAUGGGUAAAGAAGCACCGGCUAACUACGUGCCAGCAGCCGCGGUGAUACGUAGGGUGCGAGCGUUGUCCGGAUUUAUUGGGCGUAAAGGGCUCGUAGGUGGUUGAUCGCGUCGGAAGUGUAAUCUUGGGGCUUAACCCUGAGCGUGCUUUCGAUACGGGUUGACUUGAGGAAGGUAGGGGAGAAUGGAAUUCCUGGUGGAGCGGUGGAAUGCGCAGAUAUCAGGAGGAACACCAGUGGCGAAGGCGGUUCUCUGGGCCUUUCCUGACGCUGAGGAGCGAAAGCGUGGGGAGCGAACAGGCUUAGAUACCCUGGUAGUCCACGCUGUAAACGGUGGGUACUAGGUGUGGGGUCCAUUCCACGGGUUCCGUGCCGUAGCUAACGCUUUAAGUACCCCGCCUGGGGAGUACGGCCGCAAGGCUAAAACUCAAAGGAAUUGACGGGGCCCCGCACAAGCGGCGGAGCAUGCGGAUUAAUUCGAUGCAACGCGUAGAACCUUACCUGGGUUUGACAUGGAUCGGGAGCGCUCAGAGAUGGGUGUGCCUCUUUUGGGGUCGGUUCACAGGUGGUGCAUGGCUGUCGUCAGCUCGUGUCGUGAGAUGUUGGGUUAAGUCCCGCAACGAGCGCAACCCUUGUUCACUGUUGCCAGCACGUUAUGGUGGGGACUCAGUGGAGACCGCCGGGGUCAACUCGGAGGAAGGUGGGGAUGACGUCAAGUCAUCAUGCCCCUUAUGUCCAGGGCUUCACGCAUGCUACAAUGGCUGGUACAGAGAGUGGCGAGCCUGUGAGGGUGAGCGAAUCUCGGAAAGCCGGUCUCAGUUCGGAUUGGGGUCUGCAACUCGACCUCAUGAAGUCGGAGUCGCUAGUAAUCGCAGAUCAGCAACGCUGCGGUGAAUACGUUCCCGGGGCU
Molecule: ribosomal RNA, 1346 nt
Filed under: uncultured bacterium
Lineage: Bacteria
Description: bacterial SSU rRNA
Rfam family: Bacterial small subunit ribosomal RNA
Source: RNAcentral